Molecule: ribosomal RNA, 435 nt
Filed under: uncultured bacterium
Lineage: Bacteria
Description: partial 16S ribosomal RNA
Rfam family: Bacterial small subunit ribosomal RNA
Source: RNAcentral
AGCGAACGCUGGCGGCAGGCUUAACACAUGCAAGUCGAGCGGGCACCUUCGGGUGUCAGCGGCAGACGGGUGAGUAACACGUGGGAACGUACCCUUCGGUUCGGAAUAACGCUGGGAAACUAGCGCUAAUACCGGAUACGCCCUUAUGGGGAAAGGUUUACUGCCGAAGGAUCGGCCCGCGUCUGAUUAGCUAGUUGGUGGGGUAACGGCCUACCAAGGCGACGAUCAGUAGCUGGUCUGAGAGGAUGAUCAGCCACACUGGGACUGAGACACGGCCCAGACUCCUACGGGAGGCAGCAGUGGGGAAUAUUGGACAAUGGGCGCAAGCCUGAUCCAGCCAUGCCGCGUGAGUGAUGAAGGCCUUAGGGUUGUAAAGCUCUUUUGUCCGGGACGAUAAUGACGGUACCGGAAGAAUAAGCCCCGGCUAACUUCGUA